CUGUUUGUGCAGUGAAUGCAGAGUGUGUGUUUGUGUAGCAGAUGCAGUGUGUAUAGUGAAUGCCGAGUGUAUUUGAGUAGUGGAUGUAGUGUGUGUACAGUGAUGUAGUGUGUGUUUGUGUAGUGGAUGUAGUGUUUGUAUGUACUAGAUGAAAUGUGUUUAGUGGAUGCAGUGUCUGUAGUGGAUGUAGUGUGUGUAUUAGACUCGGUGUCUGUGUAUAGUGAAUGCAGAGUGUUUCAAUUUGUGGUGGAUGUAGUGUGUGUACUGUGAAUUCAUGAUGUUUGUGUAGUGGAUGCGGUGUGUACAGUUAAUGCAGAGUGUAUGUUAGUGUAGUGAAUGCAGAGUGUGUGUCAGUAUAGUGAAUCCAAAGUGUGUGCAUAGUUUAGUGAAUGCAGAGUGUGUGUUAGUGUGUAGUGAAUGCAGAGUGUGUCAGUGUAAUGAAUGUAGUGUGUGUGUAAAUUUAUAGUGAAUGCAGAGUGUGUGUUAAUGUAUAGUGAAUGCAGAGAGUGUGUUAGUGUGUAGCGGAUGCAGAGUGUGUGUUAGUGUAGUGAAUGCAGAGUGUUAAUGUGUAGUGAAUGCAGAGAGUGUGUUAGUGUGUAGCGGAUGCAGAGUGUGUGUUAGUGUAGUGAAUGCAGAGUGUGUUAAUGGGUAGCGAAUGCAGAGUGUGUGUCAUUAUAGUGGAUGCAGUGAGUGUGUUAGUGUGUAGUUUAUG
This is a non-coding RNA of Pelobates cultripes (western spadefoot toad), 712 nucleotides long. The record is from the annotation of a GenBank genome assembly. NCBI's taxonomy places the organism in Eukaryota, Metazoa, Chordata, Amphibia, Anura, Pelobatidae.